Molecule: ribosomal RNA, 406 nt
Filed under: uncultured bacterium
Lineage: Bacteria
Description: partial 16S ribosomal RNA
Rfam family: Bacterial small subunit ribosomal RNA
Source: RNAcentral
AUUGAACGCUGGCGGCAGGCCUAACACAUGCAAGUCGAACGAGUGGCGGACGGGUGAGUAAUGUCUGGGAAACUGCCUGAUGGUGGGGGAUAACUACUGGUAACGGUAGCUAAUACUGCAUAUCAUCAGAUGUGCCCAGAUGGGAUUAGUUAGUUGGUGGGGUAACGGCUCACCAAGGCGACGAUCCCUAGCUGGUCUGAGAGGAUGACCAGCCACACUGGAACUGAGACGCGGUCCAGACUCCUACGGGAGGCAGCAGUGGGGAAUAUUGCACAAUGGGCGCAAGCCUGAUGCAGCCAUGCCGAGUGUAUGAAGAAGGCCUUCGGGUUGUAAAGUACUUUCAGCGGGGAGGCGUUACCCGCAGAAGAAGCACCGGCUAACUCCGUGCCAGCAGCCGCGGUAAUUC